RNAcentral lists this ribosomal RNA (253 nucleotides) under uncultured bacterium. RNAcentral's name for it is "partial 16S ribosomal RNA". It matches the Rfam family "Bacterial small subunit ribosomal RNA", at positions 524 to 776 of the family's 1533-position model. The record is from RNAcentral.
UACGGAGGAUCCGAGCGUUAUCCGGAUUUAUUGGGUUUAAAGGGUGCGUAGGCGGUUUGAUAAGUUAGAGGUGAAAUGUCGGGGCUCAACCCCGAAACUGCCUCUAAUACUGUUGGACUAGAGAAUAGUUGCGGUAGGCGGAAUGUAUGGUGUAGCGGUGAAAUGCUUAGAGAUCAUACAGAACACCGAUUGCGAAGGCAGCUUACCAAACUAUAUCUGACGUUGAGGCACGGAAGCGUGGGUAGCAAUCAGG